RNAcentral lists this long non-coding RNA (207 nucleotides) under Lathyrus oleraceus (garden pea). RNAcentral describes it as "Pisum sativum (pea) long non-coding RNA (PSAT_LNC011405)". Lineage: Eukaryota; Viridiplantae; Streptophyta; Magnoliopsida; Fabales; Fabaceae. The record is from RNAcentral.
UUAAGCAAUCGUAAAGUAAUUCAUGUAAGAAUCACCCUAUCGGAGGCCGAUCAAUAAACUAUAUGCAUUUAAAUAGUUUCUGAAGUUAAAUUGAAUUUUUAACUCUGAUAUUUAACUAAAAUGAAAUUUUACAAUAUAUAAUAACAAGAAGUCUUAAUAUAUAAAGACAAAAAAAGAAAGAAAAUAAAAACACAAGGUGGGGGCGGC